GCCUUCUUGGCUCAGUGGUAGAGCGUCGCACUCGUACUAGCACACACCAUGCGAAGGUCCACGGUUCAAUCCCGUGAGGAGGCA
Molecule: transfer RNA, 84 nt
Filed under: Colletotrichum somersetense
Lineage: Eukaryota; Fungi; Ascomycota; Sordariomycetes; Glomerellales; Glomerellaceae
Description: tRNA-Thr
Rfam family: tRNA
About the family: Transfer RNA (tRNA) molecules are approximately 80 nucleotides in length.
Source: RNAcentral